GCUGCUCUUUAUAUAUAUACCACUAUUCAUUGUGCUCUUAUGAUAUCCAUAUCGCUGAAACUAUUUAUGUUAUAGCCAUUAUAACAUGUAAUAUAUUUUGUUGGCCCAUAACCUAAUGGUUUUAGCUUCUUAGGUAUGGAUUCACCCCCUUACAUGACUUGUAUAUUAUAAAAAGAAUAAAUUGAAGAAAAUUAAAAUAUAUGAAAUGACAAUGGAUGCUUACCAAUUUGUGGAAUCAAUCUACAA
This 246-nucleotide long non-coding RNA is filed under the name Elaeis guineensis (African oil palm). Its description in RNAcentral is "long non-coding RNA (EGUI_LNC038965)". The record is from RNAcentral. Lineage: Eukaryota; Viridiplantae; Streptophyta; Magnoliopsida; Arecales; Arecaceae.